Molecule: ribosomal RNA, 262 nt
Filed under: uncultured archaeon
Lineage: Archaea
Description: partial 16S ribosomal RNA
Rfam family: Archaeal small subunit ribosomal RNA
Source: RNAcentral
UAGGCGUAAAUGAUGCGAGUUAAGUGUGGGGGCAUCUACGAGAUGGCCCUGUGCUGUAGGGUAGCCGUUAAACUCGCUGCCUGGGGAGUACGGUCGCAAGGCUGAAACUUAAAGGAAUUGGCGGGGGGAGUACCACAACGGGUGGAGCCAGCGGUUUAAUUGGACUCAACGCCGGGAAGCUCACCGGAUAAGACAGCGGAAUGAUUGCCGGGCUGAAGACCCUGCAUGACCAGCUGAGAGGUGGUGCAUGGCGUAGACGUCU